This 208-nucleotide ribosomal RNA is filed under the name uncultured bacterium. Its description in RNAcentral is "partial 16S ribosomal RNA". It matches the Rfam family "Bacterial small subunit ribosomal RNA", at positions 568 to 775 of the family's 1533-position model. The record is from RNAcentral.
CGCGUAGGCGGCCAUGCGUGUCUUCCGUGAAAUCCCUCGGCUUAACUGAGGACGUGCGGAAGAAACUGCAAGGCUUGAGUCCGGGAGAGGGGGGUGGAAUUCCCAGUGUAGCGGUGAAAUGCGUAGAUAUUGGGAGGAACACCGGUGGCGAAGGCGGCCCCCUGGACCGGUACUGACGCUGAGGCGCGAAAGCGUGGGUAGCAAAACG